UACGUAGGGGGCAAGCGUUGUCCGGAAUCAUUGGGCGUAAAGCGCGCGUAGGCGGCUAGAUCAGUCUGCUGUAAAAGUCAAAGGCUCAACCUUUGAAAGCCGGUGGAUACUGUCUAGCUAGAGUCCGGAAGAGGCGAGUGGAAUUCCUGGUGUAGCGGUGGAAUGCGCAGAUAUCAGGAGGAACACCAACGGCGAAGGCAGCUCGCUGGGACGGUACUGACGCUAAGGCGCGAAAGCGUGGGGAGCGAACGGG
RNAcentral lists this ribosomal RNA (253 nucleotides) under uncultured bacterium. RNAcentral describes it as "partial 16S ribosomal RNA". It matches the Rfam family "Bacterial small subunit ribosomal RNA", at positions 524 to 776 of the family's 1533-position model. The record is from RNAcentral.